Molecule: ribosomal RNA, 468 nt
Filed under: uncultured bacterium
Lineage: Bacteria
Description: partial 16S ribosomal RNA
Rfam family: Bacterial small subunit ribosomal RNA
Source: RNAcentral
GACGAACGCUGGCGGCGUGCUUAACACAUGCAAGUCGAACGGAAAGGCCCUGCUUUUGUGGGGUGCUCGAGUGGCGAACGGGUGAGUAACACGUGAGUAACCUGCCCUUGACUUUGGGAUAACUUCAGGAAACUGGGGCUAAUACCGGAUAGGAGCUCCUGCUGCCUGGUGGGGGUUGGAAAGUUUCGGCGGUUGGGGCUGGACUCGCGGCUUAUCAGCUUGUUGGUGGGGUAGUGGCUUACCAAGGCUUUGACGGGUAGCCGGCCUGAGAGGGUGACCGGCCACAUUGGGACUGAGGUACGGCCCAGACUCCUACGGGAGGCAGCAGUGGGGAAUAUUGCACACUGGGCGGAAGCCUGAUGCAGCAACGCCGCGUGCGGGAUGACGGCCUUCGGGUUGUAAACCGCUUUCGCCUGUGACGAAGCGUGAGUGACGGUAAUGGGUAAAGAAGCACCGGCUAACUACGUG